This 225-nucleotide long non-coding RNA is filed under the name Panax ginseng (ginseng). RNAcentral's name for it is "long non-coding RNA (PGIN_LNC019227)". Lineage: Eukaryota; Viridiplantae; Streptophyta; Magnoliopsida; Apiales; Araliaceae. The record is from RNAcentral.
AGAAGAUCCUGGCGUUAACACUAGACAAUUUUUAUUUAGUUAUCUACCAUUUAUCUGCACGGAUUAUACUAAAUUAAGUAUAACCUAAGAAAAAAAAGUACACAUACUUGCGUUUGAUCAAUGAUAAACCACACGAAAUUAAGAAGCCAAAAGAGUAACGUAGAUAAAACAAGUACUUGAUCUUGAAGAGGAGUACGUACUCAUGGAAUUAACCUCAUUAUAUUU